This 61-nucleotide transfer RNA is filed under the name Biomphalaria glabrata. It matches the Rfam family "tRNA", at positions 6 to 65 of the family's 71-position model. From Rfam's summary of the family: Transfer RNA (tRNA) molecules are approximately 80 nucleotides in length. Their secondary structure includes four short double-helical elements and three loops (D, anti-codon, and T loops). Further hydrogen bonds mediate the characteristic L-shaped molecular structure. tRNAs have two regions of fundamental functional importance: the anti-codon, which is responsible for specific mRNA codon recognition, and the 3' end, to which the tRNAs corresponding amino acid is attached (by aminoacyl-tRNA synthetases). tRNAs cope with the degeneracy of the genetic code in two manners: having more than one tRNA (with a specific anti-codon) for a particular amino acid; and 'wobble' base-pairing, i.e. permitting non-standard base-pairing at the 3rd anti-codon position. Lineage: Eukaryota; Metazoa; Mollusca; Gastropoda; Planorbidae. The record is from Rfam by way of RNAcentral.
CGUGGCUGAUCGGUAAAGCGCUUGUCUUCCGAACCAGGGGUUCCGGGUUCGAAUCCAGGUG